AUACGUAGGUGGCAAGCGUUGUCCGGAAUUACGUGGGCGUAAAGGGCGAGUAGGCGGUCUUACCAGUCAGAUGUGAAAGGCGAGGGCUCAACCCUCGGACUGCAUUUGAAACUGUAAGACUUGAGUGCGGUAGAGGAAAGUGGAAUUCCCAGUGUAGCGGUGAAAUGCGUAGAUAUUGGGAGGAACACCAGUGGCGAAGGCGACUUUCUGGGCCGUAACUGACGCUGAGGCGCGAAAGCGUGGGGAGC
This 248-nucleotide ribosomal RNA is filed under the name uncultured bacterium. RNAcentral's name for it is "partial 16S ribosomal RNA". It matches the Rfam family "Bacterial small subunit ribosomal RNA", at positions 523 to 769 of the family's 1533-position model. The record is from RNAcentral.